GCCCUUCCUCUCUACUCUAUUCUGACACUAGCUUCAGACUGCUAGCACCUUUUCCUCUACUCCAUGUGUGUGUGUCCCUCCACAGGUCACAAACCAAGCAGGUGGGGACAGCACCUGGCCCUGAAUGGAAUUAGCCCUUUAAUUACAGCAGAACGUAACCCACUCGGCUCCACAUUUCAGGAAGGAAACGUGCUGAAUGACUCUGCUCACCUAAUGAAUGCCACAGAUCCAGAAUUCCGUUACAGGAGUGAGAACGGGACAUGUCUGUUUAGAAGGACUUAUCGGGUUGUGAUGGUUGGGACGAUGACAAAAAAAAAAGAAAAGAAAUAAAUGUUGUACCAUUGAUGUGAUGCAAUCCAAAACACACCACAAAACCUGCGGCAAACACCAAGCGACCGCUGAGCAGAUUCUCAUCUACCGUCCCAAACGAGUGGCGCCACCUCCAAAUGUAAAAGCAGACCUCAAGAAACUGGCUUACAAGAAGCAGCGGCAGCCUCCUCCCUGACACGCCUUCCCCGGCAAGGCACAUUUUGUUUUCCUUGGUGUCUUGUAGAGCCCUGUGUACAUUUACAGCACUCUAUAAAUAAAAAAUAAUAGCAGGG
Molecule: long non-coding RNA, 602 nt
Organism: Malaclemys terrapin pileata
Lineage: Eukaryota; Metazoa; Chordata; Testudines; Emydidae
Exons: 3
Source: RefSeq, a predicted model, not a curated record